AGUUUGAUCAUGGCUCAGAUUGAACGCUGGCGGCAGGCCUAACACAUGCAAGUCGAGCGGCAGCGGAAAGUAGCUUGCUACUUUGCCGGCGAGCGGCGGACGGGUGAGUAAUGUCUGGGAAACUGCCUGAUGGAGGGGGAUAACUACUGGAAACGGUAGCUAAUACCGCAUAACGUCGCAAGACCAAAGAGGGGGACCUUCGGGCCUCUUGCCAUCAGAUGUGCCCAGAUGGGAUUAGCUAGUAGGUGGGGUAACGGCUCACCUAGGCGACGAUCCCUAGCUGGUCUGAGAGGAUGACCAGCCACACUGGAACUGAGACACGGUCCAGACUCCUACGGGAGGCAGCAGUGGGGAAUAUUGCACAAUGGGCGCAAGCCUGAUGCAGCCAUGCCGCGUGUAUGAAGAAGGCCUUCGGGUUGUAAAGUACUUUCAGCGGGGAGGAAGGUGCUGAGGUUAAUAACCUCAGCAAUUGACGUUACCCGCAGAAGAAGCACCGGCUAACUCC
Molecule: ribosomal RNA, 505 nt
Filed under: Enterobacter cloacae
Lineage: Bacteria; Pseudomonadati; Pseudomonadota; Gammaproteobacteria; Enterobacterales; Enterobacteriaceae
Description: bacterial SSU rRNA
Rfam family: Bacterial small subunit ribosomal RNA
Source: RNAcentral